CCGAGUUAUACAACUCAUCAACCCUGUGAACAUACCUAAAACGUUGCUUCGGCGGGAACAGACGGCCCUGUAACAACGGGCCGCCCCCGCCAGAGGACCCCUAACUCUGUUUUCUAUAAUGUACUUCUGAGUAAAACCAGAAAUAAAUCA
RNAcentral lists this unclassified non-coding RNA (150 nucleotides) under soil metagenome. Its description in RNAcentral is "partial internal transcribed spacer 1". The record is from RNAcentral.